Molecule: non-coding RNA, 174 nt
Organism: Maylandia zebra (zebra mbuna)
Lineage: Eukaryota; Metazoa; Chordata; Actinopteri; Cichliformes; Cichlidae
Source: RefSeq, a predicted model, not a curated record
CCAGGAGUCUGUCAGCAAGUUCUGCAUGUCCUGGUGACCCUCCACCUGUUUCACAGUGUCACAGGGCAGCUCGAGCCUAUCCCAGCUAUCUUAGGGCGAGAAGCAGGGUGCACCCUCGACAGGUCGUUGGACUGUGGCAGGAAGCCGGAGUACAAGGAAAGAACCCACGCAAAA